This 438-nucleotide ribosomal RNA is filed under the name uncultured bacterium. Its description in RNAcentral is "bacterial SSU rRNA". It matches the Rfam family "Bacterial small subunit ribosomal RNA", at positions 28 to 507 of the family's 1533-position model. The record is from RNAcentral.
GAUGAACGCUGGCGGCGUGCCUAAUACAUGCAAGUCGAGCGGUAACACUUCGGGUGACGAGCGGCGGACGGCUGAGUAGCGCGUAGGAACGUACCCCAAAGUGAGGGAUAACUGCUCGAAAGAGUAGCUAAUACCGCAUGUGCUCUACGGAGUAAAGCUUUAUGCGCUUUGGGAACGGCCUGCGUAUGAUUAGCUUGUUGGUGAGGUAAUGGCUCACCAAGGCGACGAUCAUUAGCUGGUCUGAGAGGAUGAUCAGCCAGACUGGGACUGAGACACGGCCCAGACUCCUACGGGAGGCAGCAGUAGGGAAUUUUCCACAAUGGGCGAAAGCCUGAUGGAGCAACGCCGCGUGCAGGAUGAAUGCCUUUGGGUUGUAAACUGCUUUUAUCUGUGACGAUUUUGACGGUAGCAGAUGAAUAAGGAUCGGCUAACUCCGUG